UCAAAACCCCAAACAGAAGCCAUCUCUCAAAUUUUUCACUUGCGAUUUGUAAUUAACAAUUUUGGUCACAUUUAACUUCUCUUCUCCUAAUAAUAAUCCCUUUCUUCUCUUCUAUCACUAAUAAUAAACUCCCCGUUUUGUUUUACAAAACUUAAAUUUUCUCUCGUUUUUUUUAAAUUUUUUUUGCGUUUUUUUGUAUGAUUUCACGAGAUCAAUUACGUGAAACAGUUACUUCUACUGCUGAUUUCUCUAAUUUUCUUCAUCCGAGAUCUGCCUCCAACACUUUCAAUCACAAACAGAGAUGAAGAGAACGAGAGAUGAUUGUUUAAGUUCUCAAUUUAAACGUCCGUUUACUGCUGCUGCUGCUGCUUCUCGUGGAGCAGAUUUCUAUGGGCAGUCUCAAAUUCCGGAAAAUGGGGAAGGGGGAGGAGGCGGCGGCGGCGGUGGAGGAGGGGGAAUCGCUGGCGGCUGUGGUACUUCCCAGAAACUAACUACCAAUGAUGCCUUAACAUAUUUGAAGGAAGUGAAGGACAUGUUUCAAGAUCAGAAGGAUAAAUACGACCUGUUCCUUGAGGUCAUGAAAGAUUUCAAGGCUCAAAGAACUGAUACUGCUGGUGUCAUUGAAAGAGUGAAACAGUUAUUCAAGGGUCAUAACAACUUAAUUUUUGGAUUUAACACAUUUUUACCAAAGGGAUAUGAAAUAACAGUAGUUGAAGAGGCUCCGAAGAAAGUUGAAUUUGAAGAAGCUAUCAACUUUGUAAACAAAAUAAAGAAACGAUUCCAAAAUGAUGAACAUGUUUAUAAAUCAUUCCUUGACAUAUUGAAUAUGUAUCGGAAGGAGCACAAAAACAUAAAUGAGGUCUACAGCGAGGUUGCUACUCUCUUUGAGGACCAUCGAGAUUUGCUUGAUGAGUUCACUAGAUUCCUACCAGAUACUUCGGCAGCACCCAUGACCCAAAAUGCCCCAUGUGGACGAAAUUCUCUCCAAUGUUACAAUGAGAGGAACUCCAGUGCACCCUCCUCGCGGCAAGUGCAUAUGGACAAGCAACGACGGCGGGAUAGGAUUGUUACAUCCCAUGCUGAACAUGAUCCUAGUAUGGAUCGACAGGAGUUGGUUGAUGACAAAGGAAUGAUUAAAAUGCAUAAAGAUCACAGAAAGCGUUCUGAGAAGGAAAUUAGAGAUAGGAGAAAUUGUGAUGCUGUUGAUAGGGAGCCCGAGCAUGAUAGCGAUAGGGACUUCAGCUUGCAGCGUUUUUCUGACAAAAGGAAAUCUUCAAGGAAGGUUGAAGGUUUUGGAAUGAACUCUAAUGUUUCUUCUUACGAUGACAAAGACAAUUUGAAGAGUGUGUACAACCAAGGAUUUAUGUUCUGUGAGAAGGUGAAGGAGAAGUUGAGUAGUUCAGAUGAUUACCAGGCAUUUUUGAAGUGCCUGAAUAUCUACAGUAACGGAAUAAUUAAAAGGAAUGAUUUACAAAAUUUGGUGGCUGAUUUACUUGGAAAGUAUCCUGACCUUAUGGAGGAGUUCAAUGAUUUCUUUGAGCGAUGUGAGAAUAUUGAUGGGUUCCUUGCUGGUGUUAUGAGUAAAAAAUCCCCAGGUAUUGAUGGACAUGCAUCCAGAUCACUAAAGCUGGAGGACAAAGAAAAAGAGUUGAAACGCGAUUUGGAUGUUACUAAAGAUAGGGAAAGAUACAGGGAGAAGUAUACGGCAAAAUCCAUUCAAGAGCUGGAUCUCUCCAACUGUGAACGUUGUACUCCCAGCUACAGGCUUCUGCCAGAUGAUUAUCCAAUACCUUCAGUUAGCCAGCGAACAGAUGUCGGAGCUCAAGUAUUAAAUGAUCAUUGGGUCUCUGUGACUUCAGGAAGUGAAGAUUACUCAUUUAAACAUAUGCGCAGGAAUCAGUAUGAAGAAAGUUUGUUCAGAUGUGAAGAUGAUAGAUUUGAGCUGGACAUGUUGUUGGAGUCUGUGACCUCCACAGCUAAACGUGCGGAUGAAUUAUUGAACAUCAUUAAUGAAAAUGAAAAAGAUGCUCAGAUCCAUAUUGAUGAUUAUUUCACUGCUCUAAAUUUAAGGUGCAUUGAACGUUUAUAUGGUGACCAUGGUCUUGAUGUCAUGGACAUAUUGCGAAAAAACCCAACUCUUGCACUGCCGGUUGUAUUAACUCGCUUAAAGCAAAAACAAGAAGAGUGGAUGAGGUGUCGAGCAGAUUUUAACAAGGUUUGGGCAGAAAUCUAUUCAAAAAACCAUUACAAAUCAUUGGAUCACCGUAGCUUCUAUUUCAAGCAGCAAGAUUCAAAGAACUUGAGUACAAGAUUCUUGGUAUCUGAGAUCAAGGAAUUGAAAGAGAAGCAGCAGAAGGAAGAUGAUGUUCUGUUAGCUUUUGCUGCUGGAAACCGGCAAUCUGUAGUUCCGCAUGUGGAGUAUGAGUACUCUGAUAUGAGCAUUCAUGAAGACUUGUAUAAACUUGUCCAAUAUUCAUCUGGAGAGGUUUGCUCCAAAGAGCAAGUGAACAAAGUCAUGAGGUUCUGGACUACAUUUAUGGAGCCAAUGUUUGGAAUCGUUUCUCGAUCUAAUUCCAUGGAGAAUUCUGAAGCUGACAGGAAAUCUGGGCAUCACUUGAUGAGUUUCACUACAUCAAACAUACCAGAAAAUGGUGCUGAUUCUUCUAUAUCAAAUUCUAAGCAGCUUAAAUCGGCUAUAAAUGGAGAUGAAAACACUUCGGCUGAUCCUGCUAAUCAUUGUGGGCUAAGUUUGGCAAAUGGGGAUAGUUUGGCUAAAGAUAGUAUACCCGAAUCAGACCGUGUUAGUAAAGAUGAUCUGUCAUGUAACACAUAUAGACUAGAAAGAGAACACAAGGAUACAAAUGUGACUGACAGACUAUCUGGAUUUAACACACAAGUUGCCUCUGGUCAAGGUAUAGCUGAUUCCAAAACAUCAAUUAUGGUGGGAGCAGAAAAAAGUCAUGGAAGAAACACAUUUACUGGGAUUGGAGGAUCUGAUUCAGCCUUGUCAAAUCUUGGUGCUGCUGCUCUUGAGGAUCAUAAACUCAAAACAAGCAUUAGCAUUGCACCCUUAUCAGAGAGUCUUCAGGGUGGGAUUGGAGCUAAAUCUGUUUUACCAGCUAAUGGAGCAUUGGUGGAUAGCACUAAAUCUAGUAGGUACCUCGAAGAAUCCACUUCACCGGCCAAAAUUGAAAAAGAGGAGGGCGAAUUGUCUCCCAAUGGUGAUUUUGAGGAGGAUAAUUUUGCUGUCUAUGGAGAUAAUGCCAUGCAAUCUCUACUCAAUGGGAAGCAUAGCGUUGAGAGUCGGCAAAAUGGGGAAGAAUUAUAUUGUCAGGAUCCUAGAGGAGAAAACGAUGGUGAUGCAGAUGCAGAUGAUGAGGAUAGUGAUAAUGCCUCAGAGGCUGGGGAUGAUGCAUCUGGAAGUGAGUCUGCUGGUGAUGAAUGCUCCAGGGAAGAGCAUGAAGAGGAUGAAGAUGCAGAACGAGGUGAUGUUGAUGGGAAAGCUGAGAGUGAAGGUGAAGCAGAGGGCAUGGCUGAUGCACAGUUUGCUGGGGAUGUGCCAGCGUCGGAACGGUUUUUUUUGUCUGUGAAGCCUCUCGUGAAACAUGUUCCACCAGGUGUACCUGAUGGGGGAAAAAAAGAAUCUCGGAAAUUCUAUGGAAAUGAUAAUUUCUAUGUGCUUUUCAGGCUUCAUCAAACCCUGUAUGAAAGAGUAUUAUCAGCCAAAACAAACUCAACUUGUGCUGAAAUGAAAUGGAAAGUUCAUAAUGAUUCAAGUACUGAAAAUCCCUAUGCCAGGUUUAUGGCUGCGCUGUAUGGACUGGUUGAUGGAUCUGUUGAGAAUGCCAAAUUUGAGGACGAAUGCAGAGCUAUUAUUGGAAAUCAGUCAUAUGUAUUAUUUACCCUGGAUAAGUUAAUAUUCAAAUUGGUUAAACAGCUUCAAGCUGUUGUGGCUGAUGAUAUGGACAAUAAGCUUCUUCAGUUAUAUGAAUAUGAAACAUCCCGAAAAUUUGGGAAGUCCGUGGAUUCGGUGUAUUAUGAUAAUGUGCGUUUCCUUCUUCAUGAAGAGAACAUUUAUCGCUUAGAAUUCUCCUCUUCUCCAUCUUGUUUGUCCAUUCAAGUGAUGGAAAAUGUAAUUGAGAAGCCAGAGGUGUUGGCAGUUGCAAUAGAUCCUAAUUUUGCAGCAUAUUUGCAUAGUGAUUUUCUGUCCAUCUAUCCUAGCAAAAAGGAGCCACAUGGAAUUGCACUGGAGAGAAAUAAGCGAAGAUACACAGAUCUAGAUGAACAUUCUGCUAUAUGCAUGGCCAUGGACGGUGUUAAAACAUUCAAUGGUUUGGAGUGUAAAAUAGCCUGCAAUUCUUGCAAGAUCUCCUAUGUUCUGGACACGGAGGAUUUCUUCUUUAGAUUAAGAAAGAAAAGAAGCACUUCAUCAGAAAUAAAAUCUAGGAAUUAUGAUAAAGUUCAGACAAGAAGACAACGAUUCCAUAAAUUCUUAUCAGCUUCGUGCUAAUCUCUGGUUUCAUCUCUGUGAGACUUAAGAAGUCCUUGGCACAAUCAAAAAGUAUAAAGGUCUUGAGACAACUUCCUCAGAUGCUCGGGAUCCCUUUUCCUUUGAGCCUCUUUCAUCUCAAAUUCUAUUCAACUCCAAAAUGUUAGGGGCACGUUAUGAUGGAAAGCUUCGCUGUUUGAUACGGAAGUUUGCAGAGCUUUUCGAGAUGAAUUCUCUCAGGCUAAUGAAGCCUAUGUGGCAAACAGAUUGGGCUAUGAGUUGUUCAAUUCAAAACGAUGUAAAAAUGUGAAAUGUCAUAAUUAAAUAUUUAAAUAUCUUUAAAUAGGUUUUAAAUUUUGUUAUUUAUGAGCUUUGAACAGGGGUAACGGUAAUGAGUUGUACAAUGCCAACUUUAAAAAGGUUAGAAUGUAGGAUGUCACCUUUCAAAUAAGGUGCUUAAAUUGCUAUAAACAUUAAAUGCCGGAAUUUUAUGUACAAGUAAUUUAAAAAUAAAAGAUCAGUGACAUUUAUUAAUUGUCCACAUUGUGUAUAUAAAUACUUAUUCAUCCAUUGUAUUUUAUGUAACUUGCAAUUUAUUUUCCAUUUUAA
RNA transcript from Mercurialis annua (annual mercury), 5098 nucleotides. It is a transcript of the gene named paired amphipathic helix protein Sin3-like 2, with no coding region annotated. The transcript has 26 exons. The record is from RefSeq and is a predicted model, not a curated record. NCBI's taxonomy places the organism in Eukaryota, Viridiplantae, Streptophyta, Magnoliopsida, Malpighiales, Euphorbiaceae.